UGAUGACGGGUAACGGGGAAUAAGGGUUCGAUUCCGGAGAGAGGGCCUGAGAAACGGCCCUCAGGUCUAAGGACACGCAGCAGGCGCGCAAAUUAUCCCCUGGCAACACUUUGCCGAGAUAGUGACAAUAAAUAACAAUGCAGGGCUCUUACGGGUCUUGCAAUUGGAAUGAGUACAAUUUAAAUCCCUUAACGAGGAUCAAUUGGAGGGCAAGUCUGGUGCCAGCAGCCGCGGUAAUUCCAGCUCCAAUAGCGUAUAUUAAAGUUGUUGCCGUUAAAAAGCUCGUAGUCGAACUUCGGCGCCUGACGGCCGGUCCGCCUUCUUGGUGUGUACUUGCUCGUCGGGCGCUUACCUCCUGGUGAACUCUGAUGUCCUUUAUUGGGUGUCAGAGCAAACCAGGACGUUUACUUUGAAAAAAUUAGAGUGUUCAAAGCAGGCCUACGCCCGAAUACAUUAGCAUGGAAUAAUAGAAUAGGACGCGCGUUCCCAUUUUGUUGGUUUCUGAGAUCGCCGUAAUGAUUAAUAGGGAUAGUUGGGGGCAUUUGUAUUCCGUCGUCAGAGGUGAAAUUCUUGGAUUGCCGGAAGACAAACUACUGCGAAAGCAUUUGCCAAGGAUGUUUUCAUUGAUCAAGAACGAAGGAAGGGGGAUCGAAAACGAUCAGAUACCGUUGUAGUCUCUUCUGUAAACUAUGCCAAUUGGGGAUUAGCACAGGAUUUUCAAUGACUGUGUUAGCACCCGAAGAGAAAUCUUUAAAUGAGGUUCGGGGGGGAGUAUGGUCGCAAGGCUGAAACUUAAAGGAAUUGACGGAAGGGCACCACCAGGUGUGGAGCCUGCGGCUUAAUUUGACUCAACACGGGGAAACUCACCAGGUCCAGACACAAUAAGGAUUGACAGAUUGAUAGCUCUUUCUUGAUCUUGUGGUUGGUGGUGCAUGGCCGUUCUUAGUUGGUGGAGUGAUUUGUCUGGUUAAUUCCGAUAACGAACGAGACCUUAACCUGCUAAAUAGACCAGUCGACUUUGGUUGACUGCUGUCUUCUUAGAGGGACUAUCAGCGUUUAGCUGAUGGAAGUUUGAGGCAAUAACAGGUCUGUGAUGCCCUUAGAUGUUCUGGGCCGCACGCGCGCUACACUGACAGAGCCAGCGAGUCUUUUUCCUUUGCCGGAAGGCAUGGGUAAUCUUGUGAAACUCUGUCGUGAUGGGGAUAGAACAUUGCAAUUAUUGUUCUUCAACGAGGAAUACCUAGUAAGCGUGAUUCAUCAGAUCGCGUUGAUUACGUCCCUGCCCUUUGUACACACCGCCCGUCGCUACUACCGAUUGAAUGGCUUAGUGAGGCCUCCGG
This 1340-nucleotide ribosomal RNA is filed under the name Sporobolomyces sp. RNAcentral's name for it is "SSU rRNA". It matches the Rfam family "Eukaryotic small subunit ribosomal RNA", at positions 350 to 1713 of the family's 1831-position model. The record is from RNAcentral. Lineage: Eukaryota; Fungi; Basidiomycota; Microbotryomycetes; Sporidiobolales; Sporidiobolaceae.